Molecule: ribosomal RNA, 253 nt
Filed under: uncultured bacterium
Lineage: Bacteria
Description: partial 16S ribosomal RNA
Rfam family: Bacterial small subunit ribosomal RNA
Source: RNAcentral
UACGUAGGGGGCAAGCGUUAUCCGGAUUUACUGGGUGUAAAGGGAGCGUAGACGGCAGUGCAAGUCUGGAGUGAAAGGCGGGGGCUCAACCCCCGGACUGCUCUGGAAACUGUACGGCUGGAGUGCAGGAGAGGUAAGUGGAAUUCCUAGUGUAGCGGUGAAGUGCGUAGAUAUUAGGAGGAACACCAGUGGCGAAGGCGGCUUACUGGACUGUAACUGACGUUGAGGCUCGAAAGCGUGGGGAGCAAACAGG